This 211-nucleotide long non-coding RNA is filed under the name Nicotiana benthamiana. RNAcentral describes it as "long non-coding RNA (NBEN_LNC039657)". The record is from RNAcentral. Lineage: Eukaryota; Viridiplantae; Streptophyta; Magnoliopsida; Solanales; Solanaceae.
UUGAUUUGUUCAAUUUGUUGUACCACCGUAGAACUUGGUGAAUUUUGUAUAGUUCUCUGCUUUUUCCCUACAUUUCUCCUGCUACUGCCGGAGCUACACCAGUGGUAGCGGUGACAUCCCCUUUUUGACUUUUGAGUCGUGGUAUUUUCUAUAUUUUCAGGGAAAUUUUCGAAGUUUUUGGAGAAGUUGGGUGCACGAGCACUAGCAAAAG